Molecule: ribosomal RNA, 253 nt
Filed under: uncultured bacterium
Lineage: Bacteria
Description: partial 16S ribosomal RNA
Rfam family: Bacterial small subunit ribosomal RNA
Source: RNAcentral
UACAGAGGGUGCGAGCGUUAAUCGGAAUUACUGGGUGUAAAGCGUGCGUAGACGGUUAUCUAAGUCAGAUGUGAAAGCCCCGGGCUCAACCUGGGAAUUGCAUUUGAGACUGAAUAGCUAGGGUGCGGUAGAGGGAAGCGGAAUUUCCGGUGUAGCGGUGAAAUGCGUAGAUAUCGGAAGGAACAUCAGUGGCGAAAGCGGCUUCCUGGACCAGCACCGACGUUCAGGCACGAAAGCGUGGGGAGCAAGCAGG